This 849-nucleotide ribosomal RNA is filed under the name uncultured bacterium. RNAcentral's name for it is "bacterial SSU rRNA". It matches the Rfam family "Bacterial small subunit ribosomal RNA", at positions 21 to 906 of the family's 1533-position model. The record is from RNAcentral.
GGCUCAGAACGAACGCUGGCGGCAUGCCUAACACAUGCAAGUCGAACGUGAUCCGGGGCUUGCUCCGGUGAAAGUGGCGGACGGGUGAGUAACGCGUGGGAACCUGCCCUUUGGUCGGGAAUAACUGCGGGAAACUGCGGCUAAUACCCGAUGCACCCGAGAGGGGAAAGAUUUAUCGCCGAAGGAUGGGCCCGCGUCGGAUUAGGUAGUUGGUGGGGUAACGGCCUACCAAGCCUACGAUCCGUAGCUGGUCUGAGAGGAUGAUCAGCCACACUGGGACUGAGAUACGGCCCAGACUCCUACGGGAGGCAGCAGUGGGGAAUAUUGGACAAUGGGCGCAAGCCUGAUCCAGCAAUGCCGCGUGAGUGAAGAAGGCCUUAGGGUUGUAAAGCUCUUUCGGCGGGGACGAUGAUGACGGUACCCGCAGAAGAAGCCCCGGCUAACUCCGUGCCAGCAGCCGCGGUAAUACGGAGGGGGCUAGCGUUGUUCGGAAUUACUGGGCGUAAAGGGCGCGUAGGCGGUGCGAUCAGUCAGGCGUGAAAGGCCCGGGCUCAACCCGGGGACUGCGCUUGAUACUGUUGCGCUGUGAGUCCGGGAGAGGAUGGCGGAAUUCCCAGUGUAGAGGUGAAAUUCGUAGAUAUUGGGAAGAACACCGGUGGCGAAGGCGGCCAUCUGGACCGGCACUGACGCUGAGGCGCGAAAGCGUGGGGAGCAAACAGGAUUAGAUACCCUGGUAGUCCACGCCGUAAACGAUGCGUGCUAGACGUUGGGGGGCUUGCCCUUCGGUGUCGCCGCUAACGCAUGAAGCACGCCGCCUGGGGAGUACGGUCGCAAGAUUAAAACUCAAAU